CACACGACUCUCGGCAACGGAUAUCUCGGCUCUCGCAUCGAUGAAGAACAUAGCGAAAUGCGAUACCUGGUGUGAAUUGCAGAAUCCCGUGAACCAUCGAGUCUUUGAACGCAAGUUGCGCCCGAGGCCAUUCGGCCGAGGGCACGCCUGCCUGGGCGUCACGC
This 164-nucleotide ribosomal RNA is filed under the name Oryza latifolia. Its description in RNAcentral is "5.8S ribosomal RNA". It matches the Rfam family "5.8S ribosomal RNA". From Rfam's summary of the family: 5.8S ribosomal RNA (5.8S rRNA) is a component of the large subunit of the eukaryotic ribosome. The record is from RNAcentral. Lineage: Eukaryota; Viridiplantae; Streptophyta; Magnoliopsida; Poales; Poaceae.